GAUGAACGCUGGCGGCGUGCCUAAUACAUGCAAGUCGAGCGAACAGACGAGGAGCUUGCUCCUCUGACGUUAGCGGCGGACGGGUGAGUAACACGUGGAUAACCUACCUAUAAGACUGGGAUAACUUCGGGAAACCGGAGCUAAUACCGGAUAAUAUAUUGAACCGCAUGGUUCAAUAGUGAAAGACGGUUUUGCUGUCACUUAUACAUGGAUCCGCGCCGCAUUAGCUAGUUGGUAAGGUAACGGCUUACCAAGGCAACGAUGCGUAGCCGACCUGAGAGGGUGAUCAGCCACACUGGAACUGAGACACGGUCCAGACUCCUACGGGAGGCAGCAGUAGGGAAUCUUCCGCAAUGGGCGAAAGCCUGACGGAGCAACGCCGCGUGAGUGAUGAAGGUCUUCGGAUCGUAAAACUCUGUUAUUAGGGAAGAACAAAUGUGUAAGUAACUAUGCACGUCUUGACGGUACCUAAUCAGAAAGCCACGGCUAACUACGUG
RNAcentral lists this ribosomal RNA (497 nucleotides) under uncultured bacterium. RNAcentral describes it as "partial 16S ribosomal RNA". It matches the Rfam family "Bacterial small subunit ribosomal RNA", at positions 28 to 507 of the family's 1533-position model. The record is from RNAcentral.